RNAcentral lists this ribosomal RNA (497 nucleotides) under uncultured bacterium. Its description in RNAcentral is "partial 16S ribosomal RNA". It matches the Rfam family "Bacterial small subunit ribosomal RNA", at positions 28 to 507 of the family's 1533-position model. The record is from RNAcentral.
GAUGAACGCUGGCGGCGUGCCUAAUACAUGCAAGUCGAGCGAACGGACGAGAAGCUUGCUUCUCUGAUGUUAGCGGCGGACGGGUGAGUAACACGUGGAUAACCUACCUAUAAGACUGGGAUAACUUCGGGAAACCGUAGCUAAUACCGGAUAAUAUUUUGAACCGCAUGGUUCAAAAGUGAAAGACGGUCUUGCUGUCACUUAUAGAUGGAUCCGCGCUGCAUUAGCUAGUUGGUAAGGUAACGGCUUACCAAGGCAACGAUGCAUAGCCGACCUGAGAGGGUGAUCGGCCACACUGGAACUGAGAAACGGUACAGACUCCUACGGGAGGCAGCAGUAGGGAAUCUUCCGCAAAGGGCGAAAGCCUGACGGAGCAACGCCGCGUGAGUGAUGAAGGUCUUCGGAUCGUAAAACUCUGUUAUUAGGGAAGAACAUAUGUGUAAGUAACUGUGCACAUCUUGACGGUACCUAAUCAGAAAGCCACGGCUAACUACGUG